UAACUUUCUACUAUACUCUUUUGUUCCUUUUUAAUGUUUUAGCGUGGGCAACUAUUACUCAUUUUUUUAAAAACCACAAAUAGACUAAGCGUAAUCAAAAGAAAGCCCCAUAGGCUGAGAGCCCUGGACCUGGUGCCCAGGGGGCGGGGAUAGCAUCAGCCUAGAUGGAAUCACGGCUAAGCCUUGGCCAGGCACAGCAGCAUCCCCUGGACUGCAUCUGUGACUCACACACUCACCUCUUGCCCUCCUAGACCCCAAACAUUGACCAUCCAGAUGGAAAGGAUGCCAGGGCUGUCUAGCUUGACACGCUGCCACUCCGGGGUGCCCAGGCCAGCUUCUCAGCCCCUGGCCCGCUCCAUCCCACCAGCUCUCCCAGGAACUACCAGCACCCACCUAAAGGCCACUAGCUGCCCUGUGAAAGGACAGGCCAGAGAUCCCUGGAGCUCGGAUGUAGAAGGAUGUAGGGAGCCGCCUGGUCCUGUCUCCCACUGCCACGGAGGGUAAGCCCUCUCACACUGUGCCCCAACCUGCUGCCUCCACGUGUCCCCGCCAGCCAGCUGCAGUCAGGGCAGGGGUGGUGCUGCAGCUGACUAUGAGCUUCCCCUCGGAGGGAGCCGCCUCACCUCCCUCCUCCCACGCCCUCUCCCCCACCUGCUCCUCUGCCUGUCUGACACCAGGAAUGACUGACUGAAAUUUGGUCCCCAGCAGAAAGCAGGUACUGAGCCAGGACUCACUGGGGGAGUCUAGGCAAGAAUGCUUUUCUUUUCUGGGCCUCAGUUUCCUGAGGCGGCUGGACCCCAAAUGACCUCUAGAGGCUAUGCCAGCUCUCACCCAUGAUUCCUUUUUUUUUUUUUUUCCUUAGAUGGAGUUUUGCUCUUGUUGCCCAAGCUGGAGGGCAGUGGCACGAUCUCAGCUCACUGCAACCUCUGCCUUCCGGGUUCAAGUGAUUCUCCUGUCUUCACUUGAUCUUAGCCAAAAGGCCGAGAAGCGAUGGAUGAUUCUCCUGUCUUAGCCUCCUGAGUAGCUGGGAUUACAGGUGCUCACCACUACACCUGGCUAAUUUUCGGUAUUUUUAGUAGAGACGGGGUUUCAACAUGUUGGCCAGGCUGGUCUCAAACUCCUGGCCUCAGGUAAUCUGCCCACCUCGGCCUCCCAAAGUGCUGGGAUUACAGGAGUGAGCCACCUCACCUGGCCCUCACCCAUGAUUCUAUGAGAAGGAAAUAAACAGAUUUUAAAUGGCUCCCCAAGAAGUCUUGGUUCCCUAGCAGGCCUGAGCCCAGCCCCAACUCCCAGUGUCCCCCUCCAGCCUGUGAAUGGUCUGGGUCCAAGUGGACCUCUGCCCAUUAAACGGCCUCUCUUUGAGAGCUAAGAGGCCCCCAGAUCUAUCCCCUCCAGUCCUAUACCCUCAUGGGGCCCUAUGGGUGUGUAGCCAGCAGCCACCACCUGCGUGCCUUUCAUGUGGACUCAGCAGCCACCUCAUCUCUCCUCCAGGACAUGAGGGAUGGAGCAGGCCUGGCAACUUGGAAAGAAAGUCACUCCUGGUCCCAAGCCCUGUUCAAAGGGCCAGGCUCCCCUCUACCCCACUGUCCAUGUGACGGACCUCAAACAGGUGGACCCCAACUGUUCCUAUAACUCGAAUACCAUCAGCACCUCAGGGGGCUGGAACAGGAUCAGCAGAGGCUGUAGCCAGACCUGGGCCUGGAGGUUCUCCUGCACCCAACGGGCCCUUAUGCCCCCACUAGGAGGCUUGGAAUGGAGCCUCUGACACAGAAGUGGGAGGAGGGAGGAGAGUGCAGAGCCAGAGACCCUGCAGAAGCGGAGGUUUGCAGCAGCUGGAGAGGGCUCAGUCCUCCUGAGCCCCUGCUUUGCAUUGUGUAAUUACCUAGAGGCCAGCAUUGCACUGUGUAACACAGCUUGUGCAGCCUGCUUAGGAGCUUGGGAAACAGCUGUCUGUGAUUUCGCUGGUCCCACAAAGCCCAUUCUACAGAUGAGGAAGCUGAGGCCCAAAGGCUCACGUGAAGCGACCUCUCCUGGCCUCACCAAGAGUAGGGUAGGGGUCGUGCCCACAGAGAGCACAGCAGCAGGAGGGCUCCUGGGCCUCCACUCCCCUCCACUGCACUUGCCAGGCAGCCACUCACAAAGCGUGUUGCUGGCAGGGAUGUGCCAGACUAGGUCUCCUGGCACCGUCCUUGGCCACACUCAAGGAACACAGUUAUCCCUGAUGCUCCUGGCCUCUUCCUGAGCAGCCUUCAGGGCCCCCCGACUCAUGACAGGCCCCUGCCCAACAGGUACAAGUGAAGCUGGUGCUGGACCUGGGCUGCCUCCCACCCUGGUGCCUGGCCUUUGCCCUCUCUAGGGCAUCUGCAUUGACGGACACCACAGCCUUCUACCAAUCUGACCAGCCCAGCCUAGAAGGCCGAUGCAGCUCUGGACCGUGCUCCUGCAGGCUCUCCAGGCUGCUGCCAGCACAUCCUGGGUGAGGCUUGCCGGGACCCACAGGCAACCUGGGCCCCUGCCAAGCCAGAAUCCACUCUUGGCUGUGCCUUUCUCUGCACUGAGCAAAGCAGAUUGGUGGAGCCAGAGGUACCCUUGGGGCAGGCAAGGGAGGAGAAGUGCAUUCCUCGGGGAAAGGCUGGGAGCUACCCAGUCAUAGGUUGGCAAAUUGGUCCCAGGCCAGGGGGUGCCCUGACUUACAGGCUGUGGCUGAUUUCUGCAGUGUAAAUUCUCCCCGUGCCCAGUUUCAGGCUACUAAUGUGUUGUGGACCAGAAGUGGGGAGCAACACAGCCACAGUGCCAGCUACUGCUGAGCUGUCAAACCUUCCGCUGUCCCAGGGGCCACCUACCUAGAGGCCAGCAUUGCACUGUGUAACACAGCUUGUGCAGCCUGCUUAGGAGCUUGGGAAACAGCUGUCUGUGAUUUCGCUGGUCCCACAAAGCCCAUUCUACAGAUGAGGAAGCUGAGGCCCAAAGGCUCACGUGAAGCGACCUCUCCUGGCCUCACCAAGAGUAGGGUAGGGGUCGUGCCCACAGAGAGCACAGCAGCAGGAGGGCUCCUGGGCCUCCACUCCCCUUCCUCAGAAGCCUCCCAGAGUGACAGGAAGGUCAGAGGCCCUGGGGAGGGGCCAGGAUCUGGCAAUUUCCUAUCCCUCUCUGUUGGCCCUGUGCAUCUAAUUAAUCCUUGAGUCAUCUCUUGCUAACCAGGAGGGGAAAUUAAAUAUUAAUAAAGUAAUGCUCUGUGACUGCCCCUUGUUGGGGACAGGGCAGAGGGCAGAUGCUGCCCCAUAUAAACCGGGGACUCAUGUUGUGGAAACGUGCAUAAUGCCUCUGGAAAGAACAACCCCAUAGGAUUCCACACAGUCAGACUGAAAGCUGCUGCUGCUUCCUGCCUUCCUCCUCACCUCCCCCAACCCGGCCACUUUAAUUAAAACUCCAUUUAAUCAAAA
Callithrix jacchus (white-tufted-ear marmoset) is the source of this 3443-nucleotide long non-coding RNA. RefSeq lists it as uncharacterized. Lineage: Eukaryota; Metazoa; Chordata; Mammalia; Primates; Cebidae. The record is from RefSeq and is a predicted model, not a curated record.